CCUACAUGUCUCUGUUUCUUCAUCUGUAAACUAGGUAUAGGGGAUCAAGAGUACAUUCAUCUUGAUGAGCACUGAGUCAUGUGUAGAAUUGUGGAAUCAUUAUAUUGUACACCUGAAACUAAUAUAACACUGUAUGUUAACUAUACUGGAAUUAAAA
Molecule: long non-coding RNA, 157 nt
Organism: Leopardus geoffroyi (Geoffroy's cat)
Lineage: Eukaryota; Metazoa; Chordata; Mammalia; Carnivora; Felidae
Exons: 2
Source: RefSeq, a predicted model, not a curated record